Molecule: long non-coding RNA, 534 nt
Filed under: Homo sapiens (human)
Lineage: Eukaryota; Metazoa; Chordata; Mammalia; Primates; Hominidae
Description: non-protein coding lnc-ANKRD20A8P-3:1
Source: RNAcentral
AUAUUCGAUUCCAAAACAUAUUCUUUGUAAGUUUUAAUAUAUUUAUGUAUUAUUUAUACUUAGAUUGUAACCCAUAAUGUAGAUAUUAUUUUUCCUUCAACUCUUAAGAAUAUUCUUAAAUAAUAAAAUUAAAAUGAAUUAUAAUUUUUGUUGGUUGGGAAAAAGAAUAGACACACACGUGACAGUGCAUCACUUCACCUCAUCAUUUCAUCUCAUCAUUUCAUCUCAUUUUAUCUCAUCUCAUCAUAUCAUCUCAUCAUUUCAUCUCAUCUCAUCAUUUCAUCAAAUCUCAUCUCAUUUCCAUUUCAUUUUCAUUAUUUCAUUUCAUCAUUUCAUUUCACUAUUUCAUUUCAUUUCAUCUAAUUUCAUUUAUUUCAUUGUGUCACUUCAUAUCAUCUCAUUUCAUUUCAUCUCAUUUUUCAUAUCAUUUUUCAUCUCAUUUCAUUUCAUCUCAUUUCAUCUCAUUUCAUCUCAUCUCAUCCCAUUUCAUCUCAUCAUUUCAUCUCAUUUCAUCUCAUCAUUUCAUCUCAUCUC